This 497-nucleotide ribosomal RNA is filed under the name uncultured bacterium. RNAcentral's name for it is "partial 16S ribosomal RNA". It matches the Rfam family "Bacterial small subunit ribosomal RNA", at positions 28 to 507 of the family's 1533-position model. The record is from RNAcentral.
GAUGAACGCUGGCGGCGUGCCUAAUACAUGCAAGUCGAGCGAACAGACGAGGAGCUUGCUCCUUUGACGUUAGCGGCGGACGGGUGAGUAACACGUAGGUAACCUACCUAUAAGACUGGGAUAACUUCGGGAAACCGGAGCUAAUACCGGAUAAUAUUUCGAACCGCAUGGUUCGAUAGUGAAAGAUGGCUUUGCUAUCACUUAUAGAUGGACCUGCGCCGUAUUAGCUAGUUGGUAAGGUAACGGCUUACCAAGGCAACGAUACGUAGCCGACCUGAGAGGGUGAUCGGCCACACUGGAGCUGAGACACGGUCCAGACUCCUACGGGAGGCAGCAGUAGGGAAUCUUCCGCAGUGGGCGAGAGCCUGACGGAGCAACGCCGCGUGAGUGAUGAAGGUCUUGGGAUCGUAAAACUCUGUUAUUAGGGAAGAACAAACGUGUAAGUAACUGUGCACGUCUUGACGGUACCUAAUCAGAAAGCCACGGCUAACUACGUG